This 194-nucleotide non-coding RNA is filed under the name Acidobacteria bacterium 13_1_40CM_2_56_5. RNAcentral's name for it is "6S RNA". It matches the Rfam family "6S / SsrS RNA". From Rfam's summary of the family: E. coli 6S RNA was the first non coding RNA to be sequenced, but its function was unknown until recently. RNAcentral also lists the same sequence under 1 other name. The record is from RNAcentral. Lineage: Bacteria; Pseudomonadati; Acidobacteriota.
UCCGCCCUGCAAAGAGCGUGAUGGUAUCAACUAAAUUUGAACCAACACUUAUUUGAUAGGGAGUCCGACUUUCUGUGCGGUGUGCGGGCCUUACCCCUUUUCGGGGUCCCGAGGUCCCCUAAAGCGCGGAUCAGGACGCCCACCUGUGUGAACAGGUUCAAAUAGGUGAGCCACACGCCUGUUGCGGGGUUUUU